AAGCAACAUGGAUGCAAGCAUUAAAUUACAAAAGGUCAUUAGGGCAUUGGAGAAAAUCACCACAUCCUAACAGGCUGUGAAUCCAGGAGAAGCACACAAAGCUACACCCCAGUAGUGUCAGAAUAAGAGAAUCAUCCUCUAGAAAAAAAUCACAAACACUAAUGGCAGUAAACCAAUUUUCCUGACAUGUGGAAACAAAUAGAAGCUAUGAUCCAGGGCACCAUUUAUCACCACUUGGAUUUAAAAGGAUCGUUCAUUGUACUGCAGCCUUCAGCUUUUAUUCCUUCUCGCAGCUUUUCAGUAUGACAGUGGACGCUUGCAUGGAUUUUGAAGCCUUAUUGAUAAAAAUUAAUUAUUUCCCUGUGCAUCAUGCGUAAGGCCCUUCCCACCACUGAGCACAUCUACAUGGAAUGCGUCACAGGAAAGCAGCAUCCAUCAUCAGGGAGACACCCCCCCAGGUCAGCGAGUUCCAGGAUCAAGACCCAUGCAAAUCCAGAUGUCGAAGCUCAGAGGUCAAAGUCAAGUCCCAAGAUUAGCAAGACCUGGGGUCGAUACCCAAAGCUGGAGGUCAAAGUCCAGGGAUCAGUGAGUCUAGAGAUUGAAGCCCCUGGGUUGGCGCAUCUACUGAUCGAAGUCUGAUCCAGGUACAGGAGGUUGGAGGCCCAAUGUCUGUGAGCCAGAGAUUCUGGGGCCAAGGGCCAGUAAUCAGAUGUUUGGAGGCUGCCUGUUUGGGGGUCUGUGUGAGAGAGCGGCAGGUGGGAGGGUGGGAACGAUGUUUGUUUGUUGCUGUUUUGUUUUGUAGUUUUUAUUUCUGACGCUUUUGUUGUUCGGCUGGACAAAGUGGACAUGCGAUGUUGAUGGCGGACUGUGUGGCAACACCGGCUGCUGCUGCCGUUGUGUUGAUUGCUACGCAAAUGCGCAUUUCACUGUGUUUCGAUGCACAUGUGACCAGCGUGUCUGCAUAUCCUAUGCCUGCUCAGAGACCUCCUUGACCCUGGCAUGACUUCUAAUGACAAGGCCUCAGUUUCACACUCCUCCCAUUCGGUGGUGGUAUCUCCAGUAGUCCCCCCGAAAAUGCCGAUCCUUGGUCAGCAGAGCCCUCUGAAUCCAUCCCCUUAUGGACUUCCAAAACAGGACUUCGCCAAAUUUUCAUUUAGGCAAUAUUCCCAUUUGGUAGUAGGACCUCCAGUAGCCUCCCCACCCACCCCCCGAAAAUGCCACCCCUCAGCCAUGAU
Molecule: long non-coding RNA, 1235 nt
Organism: Hypanus sabinus (Atlantic stingray)
Lineage: Eukaryota; Metazoa; Chordata; Chondrichthyes; Myliobatiformes; Dasyatidae
Exons: 4
Source: RefSeq, a predicted model, not a curated record